Molecule: long non-coding RNA, 2222 nt
Filed under: Homo sapiens (human)
Lineage: Eukaryota; Metazoa; Chordata; Mammalia; Primates; Hominidae
Description: long independently transcribed non-coding RNA 1234 (LINC01234)
Source: RNAcentral
ACAUUUUCCUGGAGCGGCUGGGAAAGAGGAGUCUCUCGAAAUUCAGCAACUGCUAACAGCGAGGAGGGGUUUUGAAAGGUAAAGGCCAUUAGCUUGGAGGCAGAAGACAGACCUCCCUGACUGCUGAAUUCCUGCCGGCCUGAAAUUGGAGCAUUCCAAGCUCCUCAGAUGAGUCAUAAGCCACCAAGAUUGUGAGCCUCUGGGUGCUAGCCAGGAUCACUCCCUCCGAAGUCACACCAGAGGGAGGGCUGGAGGGAGAAUCAAAUGAAAGAGAGAGGGAGAGAAAGGAAGGAAGAGAAGGAGGGAGAAUGGAAGGAUGUAUGGAUUUGGAUGUAUGGGUUCCAUUCCUUCUACCCUGGCAAAAGCUUACUCAUCCUUCAGUGUCCAUCCAAAAUGGCAUCUCUUCUUGGGCACCAUCUCCAGAGUCUCCUGCAAGCAGGUAGCUACAUCCCACAAAACAACCACCCAUCUGACCAUGCAAGUGUGUGGGGGAAUGAAGACCAGCCCAGGAAUCUGAGAUGAAUGUUUUGCUUCUUGCUCUGCCACUGACUCACAGGGUACCCCAAGCAAGUCCCUUCACCUCCUCGGUCUCAGUUUCUCCAUUUAUACUACUAAGGCAGUGGACAUGAUGGCCUCAAGUCUCAACAUUUUUAUUCCCUGAAAAGAAACUCUUGGUGCUGAGUGGUCUUCUUCUGCCCUGACAUCUCACCUUUCAAACGCUUGUCUCUUCUCACCCCACCCACCACUUAGCAUGUGCUCUUGGAGAACACCCAGGACUCAGGGUCUCUGCACACAUCAUGAGUCCAGCUCAGCAUUUGAGGUGGAAUCAGAGGAAAGGAAGGAGAGUGGGGAGAAUAGUCAGUAUUUUGGCAAGCUCAUCAUACCUUCCCCCUUUGUAUAGAAACUUCAAACCAUUUCCCUUUGAAGGCACUACCUCCUUCCCCCAGUUAUAAAUGAGUGAAGGUCUCAAGCCUGGACAACCAAAUGCACAGUGAUUGGUUCAACUCUGGACCUGUGACUCAAGCCAGACCAAGGGAGUGACAUGCAGGGCUUUGCCUGGAACUAUUCUGAAAGGGGCACUCUCUUUCUGCUGGGCUACUGAUAAUAUGUGCAUCCGUGAUAGAAGAGCCUGCCUGAUAAUAAAGCCAAUAAGGGAAGAGCAGAGCCAAGAGAUGGUGGGAGAGCAGAUGCCUGAAAAUAUCAUUUGAGCCCCUGGGUCCAGCUGCACCUGAAGCCACCACGAUCUCCUGGACUUUGCAGUUACUUGAGUUCAUAAAUACCCUUUGGCAUUAAGCCAGAUUGAGUCUUAAUGCAUAUAGAAAUAAGAGAAAUGAGAAAAGAAAUUGAAAAGAGAGACAGCAGAGAACUGAUUCUCUACUAGAGCCUCCAGAAGGAAUCAACUCUGCCAACACCUUGAUUUUGGACUUGUGGCCUUCAGAACAGUGAAAUGAUAAACAUCUGUUAUUUUAAGGUACCUAGUGUGUAACAUUCCGUCAUGACAGCCCUAGGAAAUGAAUACAGCGAGGAAAAUCCUACCAGCACAAAGGCAUGGAGGUGCCAGGAUGUCUCCUCUGCGUGAAGAGUAGAUGUAGAUGAGGCUGGAAUUAUCUAUCCUAGCUGCCCAGACCCAUGUGCCUUUGUUUUAUGUAGUUACAGCACCUAUGAUACAUAUUUGUUACCAUGUAUGUCACUAUGAACCUCCUCUGGAGGACGGAGAAGUCAAAUACCUUAAUUAUUCCAACACAAGCUUGCGUGAACAGAUAAUCAUCACUACGAGUAUAUUGUGUGCCUGCUAAGCACCACACCUGAGAUAAGCAUUUGCUGUGGUUUGAAUGUCCCCUCCAAAGCUCAUGCUAAAAUUUAAUUGCCAUUGCAACAGUGUUGCAAGGUGAGAACUUUAAGAGAUGAUCAGGUCAUGAGAACUCUGCCCUCGUGAAUGGAUUAAUACCCUUAUCGCAGUAGUGGACCCCCCUUUUCUCUUGCUGUCUGUCUCUCAUGUUAGCUUGUGCUUCCUCCUUUCACCAUGGGAUAACACAGCAAGAAGCCCCUCACCAGAUGCUGGCACCUUGCUAUUGGACUUCCGGCCUCCAGAACUGAGAAAUACAUGUCUUUUCCUUAUAAAUUACCCAGUCUGUGGUAUUCUGUUAUAGCGGCAGAAAAUGGACUAAGACGGCAUUUUGCAUACAUUAUCUGUCUUAUUAAAAAUAAUGUUUUUGCCCAGG